CGCAUGAAUAAGGAUCCACGGAGGCUCCCACACAGCGCACCAUUCCUGAAAUAUGUGACUAACAUUUGCCUUUGCAGUCCACGCGUGCUGCGAGCUAAGGGUCUCUUCUGAUUCUGCACCUCUUCCCAUGAAACGCUGGAUGCUAGUAACAUAAGAAACAAACCUAUUUCUAGCACCAUUUUUUUUUUGGCCCCACCCCGUGACUUGCAGGAUCUCAGCUGCCUGACCAGGGAUUGAACCCCAGGCAGGCCACCGCCCGAAUCCUAAUCACUGACUGCCAGGGAAUUUCCUGCAGGAGACCAAGUCUUGAAGACUUGUCUUCACAGCUCAUCCGUGUUGAAGCAUGUAUCAGAGCUUCAUUCCUUUCUAAGGCUGAACCAUCUUCACCAAGAUCCCUGGCCAGGGGCUGGACGUCCUGGAGCCAUGAGAGAGGGCACUUGGGGAAAAGAUGGAGAUACUCGAGGAAACAAUACACAGUAUUUAUCUAAGUCUGCGAGGAAAUUGCAACCUGUGGGGUUGAGGCGAACGAUGGACGCGCUGUCUCCUGCUUCAUCGGCCACAGCCUGGCCCAGCAACACGUUGCACACAACGCUUUGACUUUCAGACAAUAAAGGAGGGUCUCUCACAAGGAAGCUGUCUCAGAUACAGUCUGUGUGCUCUACAGUGAUUUCAGCGUUGAUUGGAGAAGAAACGUUCCUCUUUUUAUAUUUUUAGGCUGACAACACGACUGCCAACAGAGCCUUUACAAAACAGGACAUAGCCUGAAACAAUAAUAUUAGGUGUUUCUCUUACAAUGCACUUACGUAGGAAGGAUCUGGAUGUGUAAGGAAGUAUAAUUAGAACAUAAUUUUAAAAACUCAGCAGAACCCAAUAAAUCUCAGAAAUGGCUAGCAUAUGGGGGUGGGGUGGGAGG
This 913-nucleotide long non-coding RNA is filed under the name Capra hircus (goat). RNAcentral's name for it is "lncRNA (ENSCHIG00000005032.1)". Lineage: Eukaryota; Metazoa; Chordata; Mammalia; Artiodactyla; Bovidae. The record is from RNAcentral.